This 694-nucleotide ribosomal RNA is filed under the name Salmonella enterica. RNAcentral's name for it is "partial 23S ribosomal RNA". It matches the Rfam family "Bacterial large subunit ribosomal RNA", at positions 568 to 1219 of the family's 2925-position model. Lineage: Bacteria; Pseudomonadati; Pseudomonadota; Gammaproteobacteria; Enterobacterales; Enterobacteriaceae. The record is from RNAcentral.
GAGCGCAAGCGACGUUCAACCGCAAAAGAAGCAGAGGGGGCUUAGUGGUGGGGUGACUGCGUACCUUUUGUAUAAUGGGUCAGCGACUUAUAUUCUGUAGCAAGGUUAACCGUAUAGGGGAGCCGGAGGGAAACCGAGUCUUAAUUGGGCGUUAAGUUGCAGGGUAUAGACCCGAAACCCGGUGAUCUAGCCAUGGGCAGGUUGAAGGUUGGGUAACACUAACUGGAGGACCGAACCGACUAAUGUUGAAAAAUUAGCGGAUGACCUGUGGCUGGGGGUGAAAGGCCAAUCAAACCGGGAGAUAGCUGGUUCUCCCCGAAAGCUAUUUAGGUAGCGCCUCGUGAAUUCAUCUCCGGGGGUAGAGCACUGUUUCGGCUAGGGGGCCAUCCCGGCUUACCAACCCGAUGCAAACUGCGAAUACCGGAGAAUGUUAUCACGGGAGACACACGGCGGGUGCUAACGUCCGUCGUGAAGAGGGAAACAACCCAGACCGCCAGCUAAGGUCCCAAAGUCAUGGUUAAGUGGGAAACGAUGUGGGAAGGCCCAGACAGCCAGGAUGUUGGCUUAGAAGCAGCCAUCAUUUAAAGAAAGCGUAAUAGCUCACUGGUCGAGUCGGCCUGCGCGGAAGAUGUAACGGGGCUAAACCAUGCACCGAAGCUGCGGCAGCGAACGUAUCACUUAAAGCGAUUCAGCG